This 357-nucleotide long non-coding RNA is filed under the name Anser brachyrhynchus (Pink-footed goose). RNAcentral describes it as "lncRNA (ENSABRG00000011205.1)". Lineage: Eukaryota; Metazoa; Chordata; Aves; Anseriformes; Anatidae. The record is from RNAcentral.
UUCCAGUAUCCUUUACUUUGCAUAGUCAUUUACACUUGCUGAAAGUGAGUGCAAAGUGGAUGCAAAAUGCUACCUCAUCAACUGGUAAUGUUUUGCACAGGUGUAAAUGACUAUACAAGCUGCAAUGCUGUGCUAAAAUCAGGCUUCUUAUCUUGGUUGAUUGGAGGUAAAGCCAUUAUACUUUUAAAAAGACCUCUUGCAGACUACUCCUCUUUCUUUAAGUUCAAGAGUUUCUUAUGUUACUCUAGUGCUUGCAGUAAGUUAGUAGUAAAGCUAAAGGUCAAGAGGAAGAAUGAAAAGAAGGGAGCAUCACAGACUCCCACUGCAGUGAAGAGUUGCAUAGAGGAAAAGCCAUGA